GUAGGGGGCUAGCGUUAUCCGGAAUUACUGGGCGUAAAGGGUGCGUAGGUGGUUUCUUAAGUCAGAGGUGAAAGGCUACGGCUCAACCGUAGUAAGCCUUUGAAACUGGGAAACUUGAGUGCAGGAGAGGAGAGUGGAAUUCCUAGUGUAGCGGUGGAAUGCGUAGAUAUUAGGAGGAACACCAGUUGCGAAGGCGGCUCUCUGGACUGUAACUGACACUGAGGCACGAAAGCGUGGGGAGCAAACAGGAUUAGAUACCCUGGUAGUCCACGCCGUAAACGAUGAGUACUAGCUGUCGGAGGUUACCCCCUUCGGUGGCGCAGCUAACGCAUUAAGUACUCCGCCUGGGAAGU
RNAcentral lists this ribosomal RNA (353 nucleotides) under uncultured bacterium. RNAcentral's name for it is "bacterial SSU rRNA". It matches the Rfam family "Bacterial small subunit ribosomal RNA", at positions 527 to 881 of the family's 1533-position model. The record is from RNAcentral.